Molecule: ribosomal RNA, 253 nt
Filed under: uncultured bacterium
Lineage: Bacteria
Description: partial 16S ribosomal RNA
Rfam family: Bacterial small subunit ribosomal RNA
Source: RNAcentral
UACGAACUGUGCAAACGUUAUUCGGAAUCACUGGGCUUAAAGGGUGCGUAGGCGGCUUGUCAAGUAGGGUGUGAAAGCCCCCGGCUUAACCGGGGAAUUGCGCCCUAAACUGACGAGCUGGAGUGGGACAGGGGUGUGUGGAACUUCCGGUGGAGCGGUGAAAUGUGUUGAGAUCGGAAGGAACGCCCGUGGCGAAAGCGAGGCCCAGGACCCUUUCUGACGCUGAGACGCGAAAGCCAGGGGAGCGAACGGG